RNAcentral lists this ribosomal RNA (253 nucleotides) under uncultured bacterium. Its description in RNAcentral is "partial 16S ribosomal RNA". It matches the Rfam family "Bacterial small subunit ribosomal RNA", at positions 524 to 776 of the family's 1533-position model. The record is from RNAcentral.
UACGGAGGUGGCAAGCGUUGCUCGGAAUCACUGGGCGUAAAGGGCGCGUAGGCGGGGAGGUAAGUCGGGUGUGAAAUCCCUCGGCCCAACCGAGGAACUGCGCCCGAGACUGCUUCUCUUGAGUCCCGGAGAGGAAGAUGGAAUUCCCGGUGUAGCGGUGAAAUGUGUAGAGAUCGGGAGGAACACCGGUGGCGAAGGCGGUCUUCUGGACCAGCACUGACACUGAGGCACGAAAGCGUGGGGAGCAAACAGG